CCUACGGGUGGCAGCAGUGAGGAAUAUUGGUCAAUGGGCGGAAGCCUGAACCCUCCCCGUCGCUUGCAUUCUUCCUUCCCUCCUUUUUUUCCCCUUCUUUUCUCCUUUCCUCCCGCGCCUUACGUGUAGGGCUUUGCAUGUACCGUAUGAAUAAGGACCGGCUAAUUCCGUGCCAGCAGCCUCGGUAAUAAGGAAGGUCCGGUGGUUAUCCGGAUUUAUUGGGUUUAAAGGGAGCGUAGGCCGCAUGUCAAGCGUGCUGUGAAAUGUCCGGGCUCAACCCGGGCCUGGAAGAGUGAAGUGGCGUGAUUGAGUCCGCGGAAAGCAGGCGGAAUUCGUCGUGUAGCGGUGAAAUGCUUAGAUAUGAAGAAGAACCCCGAUUGCGAAGGCAGCUUGCUGCAGCGGAAAUGAAGCUGAUGCUCGAAAGCGCGGGUAUAGAAAAGGAGUAGAGAGAAAGGGAGUC
RNAcentral lists this ribosomal RNA (460 nucleotides) under uncultured bacterium. Its description in RNAcentral is "partial 16S ribosomal RNA". It matches the Rfam family "Bacterial small subunit ribosomal RNA", at positions 338 to 795 of the family's 1533-position model. The record is from RNAcentral.